This 1299-nucleotide long non-coding RNA is filed under the name Homo sapiens (human). Its description in RNAcentral is "HSALNT0339509". The record is from RNAcentral. Lineage: Eukaryota; Metazoa; Chordata; Mammalia; Primates; Hominidae.
GAGGUCCUUUAUUUUUUUUUUUUAACACCUAUUAUGCCAUGAAUUCAUAGGGAAUAGGUUCCAGCAGCUCAGGCUCCUUCCCAUUGGUUCUCACAAAGUGUGCUUCUCUGGGUGGAGUAGGCUGGCGCUUUAGUUGAACCCAGGUACCUUUCUCUUUGGCUUCUUUCUUUUUCUGAUCAUUUUCCUUCACACGUUUCAGGAAGCUAUCUCGGCUCUUAGAGUGCUUAAUGUGCUCAAUACGCACAUUAAUUCUCUUGGCAAGAAUCUUGCCCUUAACUUGUUUGUUUACAACAAUGCCAACAGCAUGCUGGGUAACAUUGUAGACUCUUCCAGUUUUGCCAUGGUAACACUUGUGGGGCAUUCCUUUUUGAACAGUACCCAUUCCCUUGAUGUCUACAAUAUCACCUUUCUUAUAGAUUCGCAUAUAUGUGGCCAAAGGAACAACUCCAUGUUUUCUAAAAGGCCUAGAGAACAUAUAUCGGGUGCCUCUCCUCUUUCCCUUUGUGUUCGUCAUUUUGGCGAAUUACUGGAAGAUGGCGGUUCCGGCCGAAAGGGCAAGAUGCAUAUUGGAUAUCUAAAUAGAGAUAUCAAGAAAUGAAGAUAUGCAUUUCCAGUUCCAGAGAGAAAUUCACACUGGAAAUAUAAAUUUAGGAAUUUUAAAGUUAGUGGUCACAUUUAAAGCUGCAGAAUACAAAGAGAUCACCUGUGUGAGAGAACUGAGUCCUGAAACAUACCCGUGUUUAAAGAUCUGGGAGGUGCAGAGGAAUUAUCAAAGGAGGCUGAGAAGGAGCAGCCAGUGAGGUGUGUAGAAAAACAAGAUAAGCAAAAAGAAAAGCAAGAGAUAUGGAACUGAACUUCCCUUUGGCAAAAAAUUUAGAAAAUGAUAAUGAGGAACAUCGAUUUCAGCAUACCUUAAACCUUUUGAACAGACUUGUCGAUACUCUCUUGGAAAAGUAUUUUUAAAAAUAGAAUUGAAUAUUUUUAAACUUUCAUCCCAAUAGAAAGCUAAAGUUAAUGAGGAAACUUGGAUUCAUUUCACAAAACGUUGCUUACUCCGCUUUCUGUCUCUCUGAAGAUAACGUUAAGCUGCAGCUCCGUAUCUGUGAAAACCCAUUUCACAGCAUCUGCAUCCCUGGAUUGCUAAAUACCCUUGUCUAGUUACCCAAAUAUUAAUGGAUCCCAUGGAAUAAGGUGGCAUGAUUUAGGCACAAGCAAUUACCAAAGGAUUUUGAAAAGCAGUAACUCCAAAUUAUCUUGUAAAGUUGAGAAUAAUCUGAGAAGAGCUAUUGUAAGACUGGG